GACCUUGAAUUUACGGGCGCGAUGACGCAUGUAUGGAAGUGCCCGGUCGCUCCGGGUGAUGGUGCUGAACACCUCACUAACUACUCGUACUGGACCCGGGGGCAGUACCCGGCGGCUCCACCAGACACGCCGGCGCCGAGCCUUCAAGGGCGCGCCGGCCUCCCUGGGGCCGAAACAGGCUCGACAGGCGGGAAAAGGUGCGGUUUGUACCCGGCAUGGUACCGCCGUUAUCGGGCCAUUAGAGAGUUGCGAACGAUAACGCUGCUCCGGAGAUGGCCGUCGCUGCGUAAGCAGCGAAGGUGAACUCCACCUUUAAUCCCAACGGCGUUAGCUGCCGUUGGUGGGGUUCCGGCGGGGCCCCUCGCAACAGAAUGCCCCGCCA
RNAcentral lists this transfer-messenger RNA (382 nucleotides) under Rhodovibrio salinarum. It matches the Rfam family "Alphaproteobacteria transfer-messenger RNA". From Rfam's summary of the family: Bacterial tmRNA, also known as 10Sa RNA or SsrA, is named for its dual tRNA and mRNA-like properties. Lineage: Bacteria; Pseudomonadati; Pseudomonadota; Alphaproteobacteria; Rhodospirillales; Rhodovibrionaceae. The record is from RNAcentral.